GAUGAAGAACGCAGCGAAAUGCGAUAAGUAGUGUGAAUUGCAGAAUUCAGUGAAUCAUCGAAUCUUUGAACGCACAUUGCGCCCCUUGGUAUCCCGAGGGGCAUGCCUGUUCGAGCGUCAUUUCACCACUCAAGCCUGGCUUGGUGUUGGGCGACGUCCCCUUUGGGGACGCGCCUCGAAACGCUCGGCGGCGUGGCAUCGGCUUUAAGCGUAGCAGAAUCUUUCGCUUUGGAAGUCGGGGCCCCGUCUGCCGGAAGACCUACUCGCAAGGUUGACCUCGGAUCAGGCAGGGAUACCCGCUGAACUUAAGCAUAUCAAUAAGCGGAGGA
RNAcentral lists this unclassified non-coding RNA (329 nucleotides) under soil metagenome. RNAcentral describes it as "partial contains 5.8S ribosomal RNA, internal transcribed spacer 2, and large subunit ribosomal RNA". The stretch from base 1 to 120 matches the Rfam family "5.8S ribosomal RNA", at positions 35 to 154 of the family's 154-position model. The record is from RNAcentral.